UCCCUCUCAGGAUCACACCUGGAGAGUGUCCAGUACUCUACCAGUCUUGACUAUGGGAGGGAGAGUCAAGAGGAGGCAUACCCACUCCAUUUCUAGCUGGGACAGUGGCUAGUGAGUGGAAAGCAAUCUGCUACAAGU
Molecule: non-coding RNA, 138 nt
Organism: Ornithorhynchus anatinus (platypus)
Lineage: Eukaryota; Metazoa; Chordata; Mammalia; Monotremata; Ornithorhynchidae
Source: Rfam